GCCGGGCGCAGUGGCCUGUGCCUGUAGUUCCAGCUACUAGGGAGGCUGAGGCUGGAGGAUCUCUUGAGCCCAGGAGUUCUGGGCUGCAGUGUGCUAUGCAGAUUGGGUGUCCUCGGCAUCAAUAUGGUGAUCUCCCGGGAGCAGAGGACCACCAGGUUGCCUAAGGAGGGGUGAACCAGCCCAGGUCAGAAACGGAGCAGGUCAAAACUCCUGGGCUGAUCAGCAGUGGGAUUGCACCUGUGAAUAGCCACUGCACUCCAGCCUGGGCAACAUAGCAAGACCACAUCUCU
Molecule: signal recognition particle RNA, 290 nt
Filed under: Saimiri boliviensis boliviensis (Bolivian squirrel monkey)
Lineage: Eukaryota; Metazoa; Chordata; Mammalia; Primates; Cebidae
Description: Metazoan signal recognition particle RNA (ENSSBOG00000001859.1)
Rfam family: Metazoan signal recognition particle RNA
About the family: The signal recognition particle (SRP) is a universally conserved ribonucleoprotein. It is involved in the co-translational targeting of proteins to membranes.
Source: RNAcentral